UCUCCGUUGGUGAACCAGCGGAGGGAUCAUUACCGAGUUUACAACUCCCAAACCCAAUGUGAACCAUACCAAACUGUUGCCUCGGCGGGGUCACGCCCCGUGUGCGUCGCAGCCCCGGAACCAGGCGCCCGCCAGAGGGACCAACCAAACUCUUUCUGUAGUCCCCUCGCGGACGUUAUUUUUACAGCUCUGAGCAAAAAUUCAAAAUGAAUCAAAACUUUCAACAACGGAACUCUUGGUUCUG
RNAcentral lists this unclassified non-coding RNA (244 nucleotides) under plant metagenome. RNAcentral's name for it is "partial contains small subunit ribosomal RNA, internal transcribed spacer 1, and 5.8S ribosomal RNA". The record is from RNAcentral.